UUUCCGUAGGUGAACCUGCGGAAGGAUCAUUAUUGUAUAACCGAGGUGCGAGGGCUGUCGCUGACCCGAAAGGUCGAGCACGCCCGACUGCCCUAACACACAUCCAUCUCACCCCUAUGUGCACCACCGCGUGGGUCCCCCUUUGGCUUGUUCGGAGGGGGGCUUACGUUUUCACACAAACUUUGUAUGCAGUGUAGAAUGUAUUUUUUGUUUUUGCGAUCACGCAAUCAAUACAACUUUCAACAACGGAUCUCUUGGCUCUC
RNAcentral lists this unclassified non-coding RNA (263 nucleotides) under plant metagenome. RNAcentral describes it as "partial contains small subunit ribosomal RNA, internal transcribed spacer 1, and 5.8S ribosomal RNA". The record is from RNAcentral.